This 456-nucleotide ribosomal RNA is filed under the name uncultured bacterium. RNAcentral's name for it is "bacterial SSU rRNA". It matches the Rfam family "Bacterial small subunit ribosomal RNA", at positions 73 to 543 of the family's 1533-position model. The record is from RNAcentral.
ACUCCCUUCGGGGAGUGCAUAAAGUGGCGCACGGGUGAGUAACACGUAAGUAAUCUACCUUUGAGUGGGGAAUAACCCGGGGAAACCCGAGCUAAUACCGCAUAAUGCAGCGGCAUCGCAAGAUGACAGUUGUUAAAGGAGCAAUCCGCUUAAAGAGGAGCUUGCGGCAGAUUAGCUAGUUGGUAAGGUAACGGCUUACCAAGGCUACGAUCUGUAUCCGGUCUAAGAGGACGGUCGGACACACUGACACUGAAUAACGGGUCAGACUCCUACGGGAGGCAGCAGUCGGGAAUUUUGGGCAAUGGGCGAAAGCCUGACCCAGCAACGCCGCGUGAAGGAUGAAGUAUUUCGGUAUGCAAACUUCGAAAGAAUGGGAAGAAUAAAUGACGGUACCAUUUAUAAGCUCCGGCUAACUACGUGCCAGCAGCCGCGGUAAUACGUAGGGAGCAAGCGUUG